AAGAAAGCCACGUGUGGAUUUUGGAGAAGAGUUAAUCAGUUUAAGGAUACAAGUGUGGUGGCCAAUGGAUGAAAUGAAAUGAACAGUGGUGCCCGUUGUCUAAUACUAGCAUUAAAGAUGUUGGAAGUUAGACACUUCUUAAAGACUGAUUAAGUUCAAAGUUGUCCUGAAGGCAUAAAAAACAGGUUUUAUCCAGGCACUGUUAAAGC
Salvia hispanica is the source of this 209-nucleotide non-coding RNA. The record is from RefSeq and is a predicted model, not a curated record. NCBI's taxonomy places the organism in Eukaryota, Viridiplantae, Streptophyta, Magnoliopsida, Lamiales, Lamiaceae.